Long non-coding RNA from Triticum dicoccoides, 3813 nucleotides. RefSeq lists it as uncharacterized. The transcript is spliced from 11 exons. Lineage: Eukaryota; Viridiplantae; Streptophyta; Magnoliopsida; Poales; Poaceae. The record is from RefSeq and is a predicted model, not a curated record.
CCGUGGCAGCUGCGCGGCGGAGGGCGUGUGCGUGAAGGCUGCGCGUUCCUCCGGCUUCCGGCGUGCCGCGGCAUGGAAGGCUUGGAGUGCGAGACGGAGGGCAGCCUAUGGAGUGCCGUGGGGGUGCAGCUGGCUAUGAGGUCAGGAGAGGCGGCUAGGAAGACGGUCGCCUCCAUGACACAGACGUCGCUCUCCGCAUCACACACUUUGUCCUCUGUCUUCCUCCAGAUCUUGUUUUCUUGACAUCUACAGUCUAGAUCGAAGGAAGAUUCGCUUCUUUGCCAAUUCUCCAUGCCAUUCACUCAUCUUACAUCUUACAAUAAAAGCUUACUUUGAACUCCUUAUGAUCAGGCUGUCAGAUGUAUUUAUAGUAACUCUUAUCUAGAAAUAUGUCUCACGAAAGAAAUGCCCUCAUUCAUAGAUAUACUUGAUAGUCUUGAUUCCAGAGCCAAAAAGAGAAUGAAGUUCUAUGUAAUAAUGUGGCAAAAUCUUUGUUUUGUUCAUGUGUUCUAUCUGACGUGAUUUUUCUUGCUACUAACUUCCUGCUCCUGACAUAUAAACUGCUGUUUGCAGCACUUGGAUAUACGUAGUUGUAUCAAAAUUCCCUUCUUACAACAUGGCUUGCUGCUACUAGGAAUAUUAGAUUGGAAGCACCUACAUUGGACUAGAUUAAUUUGAUUUCUUUGGUAUAGCUUGCUUACUUCAUAAUUGUGAUACUUGUAGUUUGAAAAUAUUUUGUUUCAUCUUUGGUAUGUUAUUCAGUUUUCAGAAAUGAUCUCCAAGUGCUUAUGAUGGUGUUACUGAAUGUUGAUUGAUGCUGUUGGAAACAAUAUAUGGACACUUGCUUGUUUCUUUGAGUUGACACAAGUCCAAUGAGAAUUCUACACCGACAAAAUGAGAGAGGAAUUCAGCCCUAAAGAAAGCAUUGACAGUGAAACCGGCAUAUAUUUUAUCACUUGGUCCUUCUAUCAAUGAAGCAAUGUCAAGAGGUAACGGAUGCAGUGUGGAUAAUGCAGAGUUUGCUAUGGAGACUCUAAAUCAAUUGAACACCUACGCUUGCCCCAGAACUCUUGGUAGCUAAGAGCCUCACACAUGGAUGUCAGUCGGGGCUUCCGUCCCACACCACUCUGUUGGCCACGCCUGCAGCCAUCCCAGCAUCACCCUCCCGCUGUCGUAAACGAUCCGGCAUUGCUGCCCACACCCCUGCUUUGCUGCGUACCACUUCUAUAGCCUGUACAGUGGGGCGGCAAGCAUGCGACUGAAGACGAUCAGUGUAAUCUUACCAAGAUCAUGUGCUUUUUUAUCUCUGGUUCUUGCAAGACGAUUCUUUGCCGUACGUGUCAGGUGACUGAAUCCCGCCGAGUAUUAUUAGGCGGAGGAAGGGACAGAAACAGGGCACGCCACUCUGCAUUUUUGGUCUCGCCGAAAUGACUUCAGUAUCAGCCAGGGGGCUGUGCAUCACUGGGAAUUUUCCAUUUGGAAGGUCCAAUUCCUGACCAUGAUGCUAUAUGAACCGCAACCUGGAACAGUGAAUCCUGAUCGCGAAUGUGCCCGCGGCGCAAGAGAGGAGGGGGCAUCAGCUUGAGUAUAGCCAAGUGGCGGGACAGACAGGCGCGAUGGCAAUGGCAAUGGAAUUGGCCAACAAAUUGCUACUGGUGCUCCAGAGCUACUCGCUGCCAGUUUGGGCCAUGAUAAUCUCGGGGCUCUUCGUCGCCGUAUCACUCUCGCUGUCCAUCUACUUGCUCUUCAACCACCAUCGGCCUACAAGAACCCAGAGGAGCAGAAGUUCCUCGUCGGCGUCGUUCUGAUGGUGCCGAUAUACGCAAUCGAGUCGGUAAGGUGGCUAUGCCAUGUCUUGUUCAAGUGCGCGGUCACAAUGUUGUUGGCUGGGAGAGGUCGAUCCAGCCGUUAACUCUUGGCGUGGACCAGAACCCAUAAGCCAAUAGUAUUAGGUUUAGAUGGCUUUCCAGGGAUUGAAGUGGUUGGAGCUGCAGGCCGAACUCAAAUUAUUUGUUUUUUCAGUACCAUUUGUUAAUUCAAUUGCAAACAUUGUGCUAAUAGAUAAAGACAUGUCCCAAUCUUCUUGGUCUGCUCACGUAUGGAGGCGAUCUGAAUUAAAGGAAGAACUCUAUGUUGUCUGCUUGAAUCAAUUGUUCAUCUCUACAUUAACGAAUAGAAUCGCAAAGGAAAAAAACAUUCUCUCUCCUCCCACCAGCGGCCUCGAUCUGGGAUCGCCAGGGAUGCCGCUAAAUAUAAUAUCUCAUGGUAUGGAGAAAUACAGAAGAAUUUGUUCAGACUUCAGAAAUGUGUGGUUGAGGAGACAAAAACACACAGCAGACUUCAGAAAUGUUUUCAGAAUCGCAAAGGAAAAAAACAUUCUCUCUCCUCCCACCAGCGGCCUCGAUCUGGGAUCGCCAGGGACGCCGCUAAAUAUAAUAUCUCAUGGUAUGGAGAAAUACAGAAGAAUUUGUUCAGACUUCAGAAAUGUGUGGUUGAGGAGACAGAAACACACAACAGUCUGCACUACACACUUGACAUACAUGCAAAGAUCUUCACUAAGAUAUAUCGAGCAGAGCUCAUCACAACAUCCUGUGACGUUCUCAACCAUGUUAUCCUUCACGAUAAACAUAUUUUGAGGGAGACAAGAGAGCAUCCAAGCACGACCAUGUUGAACUUGAUGUCUUGCUGCAGUACAAGUGGCUGUUGUCCCUUGAUCCAGGUAUGAUUUCUGAAGAUUAUUUCACUAAUUAGCUAUACCCAGUGACCAGUGUAGAUCUGGCACGUCCACUUCUAAAUGAACAAGAUAUUUCAAGGUGAUGCAUCGUGUCGUGGUCGUUGUCUGUGCUAUCCGUCUUCCUCAUUUGUGCUAAUUUGAUUACUCUUUUUUGAAGGCAGUGCAUCGUCGGGUUUCUCAUAACAUGUUGGUAGAUUUUAUUUAUUGUCUUCUUAAGAAAUAGAUCGACCCAAAACAUUGUUCAUAUUUACAGGUUGAUUAUUUUCGUAGAUUUAUAAUCCAAAUACAUGACCCACUACAAGAUUACGAGCUUGGAGUCGUCCUUCUUGUUUAGGAGGGCAGAUUUGGUACUAAACAAUUAAUUGGUGUUGAUAGACUUGUACUGUGAAAAAUAAUGGUAAUAUGAACAGACUGAUAGUGGUACACAUAGGGUGACAAGGAGUUAUUAUUUUCAUUCCUAUAUGCAACUUUUCUGGCACUAACCAAUAGCAUUGUGCUGCCAGAACACCGUAUGCUUAGUACUGAUUAAAUUUUAUUAUCAGCAAGUCAUAUGCCUUGGUUUGGUGGUGCACACCGCAAGAGCUCCUUAAAUUUGGGGACCCAUCAAGCCACAGUUUCAUGGUUCUCAAGAACAUUUAUCUCGAGAAAAUUCCAAAUAUUUUGGUACCAAAUUUGUCUUUUCGUCAUCCCAUUUUUCUGAUGUAAGUUGGAUGACCUUCAUUCAGCUAGAAGUAUAAGAACCGCAACAGCUGCUGAAGGGUUUGAUUAAGUUAGAAAAAAAACUUCCACAAAAUCUUGUCCCAAUAAAAUUUACCUAUAAAGGAAUCAUUUUAGAAAAUAGAUACAAGAUCCUUAUCAGUUUGAGAUGUUCAACUCCCAACUUGUCUUCUUUGUUCUGUUCUGUGCAAGUGUAUCUUGUUGAUUAUGUGGAUGGUGUACUUGUACAUACUAAAAUUGCGGGCAAAACAAAGUGAUGGAUGGUCUACAAGAUGAUAUUAAUGAAUUAAUCUUCAGGGUAAAAUAAUCUAACCAACAUGCAUCUGUUUAGUUUGAAAUAAUAUUGCCUUCAAAAUGUAUGA